RNAcentral lists this transfer RNA (58 nucleotides) under Oryza brachyantha (malo sina). It matches the Rfam family "tRNA", at positions 7 to 64 of the family's 71-position model. Rfam says of the family: Transfer RNA (tRNA) molecules are approximately 80 nucleotides in length. Lineage: Eukaryota; Viridiplantae; Streptophyta; Magnoliopsida; Poales; Poaceae. The record is from Rfam by way of RNAcentral.
GUAGCUCAGUUGGUUAGAGCACCCGUUUAGUAAGCGGGAGGUCUUGAGUUCACUUAAC